AAAGUUUUAUUUUGGCUAAAAAAUUUAUUUUUUAUAUAUUUUAUAUGUAAAUUUUUGUAUGGAUUAAUUUAUUUCUUAAUGAGUGUAAUUUAAUUAUAAUCGCAGUAUUUGAUUUUAAAUAUUAAAGAAAUUUAGAUUUGGUAAUAAAAAAUAGUAUAGGUUAAUUUUGUGCCAGCAUCCGCGGUUAUACAAAAUAUACAAAUGAAUUUUUUUAUUUUGUAGUUAAAUUAAUUUAAUUGUUAAAUUAAAUGUUUAUAAAUAAGGUGAAAUUUUUUAUAAAGAUAAAAUUUUUAGAUAAGUUAAUUGAGGCUAUUAGAUUUAAAUAAUAAACUAGGAUUAGAUACCCUAUUAUUUUAAAAUUAAAAAAUUUAUGAUUAGGUAGUAAUAGUUAUGAUCUUGAAACUUAAAAAAUUUGGCGGUAUUUUAAUCUAAUUAGAGGAAUCUGUUCCAUAAUCGAUAAUCCACGAUAAAUUUUACAUAAUUUGAUUUAGUUUGUAUAUCGUCGUUAUAAGAAAAUUUUAUAAGGAUAUUAAUUUUCUAAAUUUUGAAUUUGAAUUUAUUUCAGAUCAAGGUGCAGCUUAUAAUUAUGAGGAAAUGGAUUACAAUAAAUUUAUUUAUAUGAAUAGUAAAGUGAAUAUUUUAUUUGAAGGUGGAUUUAAUAGUAAAUUAAAUUAUAUAAUUUAAUUGAUUUUAGCUCUAAAAUAUGCACAUAUCGCCCGUCGCUCUCUUUUUUAAAAAGAGAUAAGUCGUAACAAAGUAGAUGUACUGGAAAGUGUAUCUAGAAUGAAUACA
This 792-nucleotide non-coding RNA is filed under the name Neochauliodes meridionalis. Lineage: Eukaryota; Metazoa; Arthropoda; Insecta; Megaloptera; Corydalidae. The record is from RNAcentral.